GCCGGAUUGGCGGAAUGGCAGACGCAGGGCACUCAAAAUGCUCCGCCCGGAAGGGUGUGUGGGUUCAAGUCCCACAUCCGGCA
Molecule: transfer RNA, 83 nt
Filed under: Rhodoglobus sp.
Lineage: Bacteria; Bacillati; Actinomycetota; Actinomycetes; Micrococcales; Microbacteriaceae
Also listed under: 2 other names
Description: tRNA-Leu
Rfam family: tRNA
About the family: Transfer RNA (tRNA) molecules are approximately 80 nucleotides in length. Their secondary structure includes four short double-helical elements and three loops (D, anti-codon, and T loops).
Source: RNAcentral